UGAGGUGAUGAUGACACUAUUUCUAAAGA
Molecule: non-coding RNA, 29 nt
Filed under: Homo sapiens (human)
Lineage: Eukaryota; Metazoa; Chordata; Mammalia; Primates; Hominidae
Source: RNAcentral